Molecule: ribosomal RNA, 316 nt
Filed under: uncultured bacterium
Lineage: Bacteria
Description: bacterial SSU rRNA
Rfam family: Bacterial small subunit ribosomal RNA
Source: RNAcentral
AGAGUUUGAUCCUGGCUCAGGGUGAACGCUGGCAGCGUGGAUGAGGCAUGCAAGUCGAACGAUCCCUUUAUGGGAUAGUGGCAGACGAGGUAGUAACGCGUGGGCACCUGCCCUUGUGUCGGGGAUAACUACGGGAAACCGUAGCUAAUACCCGAUAGUCCCUCCGGGGUAAAGUUUUUCGCACAAGGAUGGGCCUGCGUGCUAUCAGCUUGUUGGUAAGGUAACGGCUUACCAAGGCUAUGACGGCUAGGGGAGGUGAGAGCCUGACCCCCACCGAUGGAACUGAGACACGGUCCAUACACCUACGGGUGGCAGC